GACGAACGCUGGCGGCGUGCUUAACACAUGCAAGUCGAACGGAAAGGCCUUUUCGGAGGUACUCGAGUGGCGAACGGGUGAGUAACACGUGGGUGAUCUGCCCUGCACUCUGGGAUAAGCCUGGGAAACUGGGUCUAAUACCGGAUAGGACCGCACUUUAGUGUGUGGGGGGGAAAGUUUUUUCGGUGUAGGAUGAGCCCGCGGCCUAUCAGCUUGUUGGUGGGGUAAUGGCCUACCAAGGCGGCGACGGGUAGCCGGACUGAGAGGUUGGUCGGCCACAUUGGGACUGAGAUACGGCCCAGACUCCUACGGGAGGCAGCGGUGGGGAAUAUUGCACAAUGGGGGCAAGCCUGAUGCAGCGACGCCGCGUGGGGGAUGACGGCCUUCGGGUUGUAAACUCCUUUCGCCAGGGACGAAGCGUUUUGUGACGGUACCUGGAGAAGAAGCACCGGCUAACUACGUG
RNAcentral lists this ribosomal RNA (463 nucleotides) under uncultured bacterium. Its description in RNAcentral is "partial 16S ribosomal RNA". It matches the Rfam family "Bacterial small subunit ribosomal RNA", at positions 28 to 507 of the family's 1533-position model. The record is from RNAcentral.